GAUGAAGAACGCAGCGAAAUGCGAUAAGUAAAGUGAAUUGCAGAAUUCAGUGAAUCAUCGAAUCUUUGAACGCACAUUGCGCCCGCCAGUAUUCUGGCGGGCAUGCCUGUUCGAGCGUCAUUUCAACCAUCAAGCCCCCGGCUUGUGUUGGGGACCUGCGGCUGCCGCAGGCCCUGAAAACCAGUGGCGGGCUCGCUAGUCACUCCGAGCGUAGUAAUACAUCUCGCUCAGGGCGUGCUGCGGGUUCCGGCCGUUAAAAAGCCUUAUUUACCCAAGGUUGACCUCGGAUCAGGUAGGAAGACCCGCUGAACUUAAGCAUAUCAAUAAGCGGAGGA
RNAcentral lists this unclassified non-coding RNA (335 nucleotides) under soil metagenome. Its description in RNAcentral is "partial contains 5.8S ribosomal RNA, internal transcribed spacer 2, and large subunit ribosomal RNA". The stretch from base 1 to 120 matches the Rfam family "5.8S ribosomal RNA", at positions 35 to 154 of the family's 154-position model. The record is from RNAcentral.